AUCAACGCGGUGGCGGACUACGCGCGCGGCCUCCCCAAGCCCCGCGUGGCCCCCGUCUGGGCGCGCGACAUCAUCCCGGCGCCGUCGAAGAUUGUGUCGCGGCCGCCGCGCUUCGAGCUCUUCGACCUCCGCUACUUCACCGUGGACCUCGGCCCGGACCACAUCGCCAAGGUCAAGUCCAGCUUCUUCGAGGCGACGGGGCAGCGCUGCUCCGCCUUCGACGUGUGCGUCGCCAAGACGUGGCAGUCCCGCGUCCGCGCGCUCCGGCUCGACGCCGACGACCCGUCCCGCCCAGUCCACGUCUGCUUCUUCGCCAACACCCGCCACCUCCUGCCGCCGGCGCCGGGGUUCUACGGCAACUGCUUCUACACGGUGAAGGCGACGCGUCCCUGCGGCGAGAUCGCCGCCGCCGGCGUGGUGGAGGUGGUG
This 429-nucleotide long non-coding RNA is filed under the name Setaria italica (foxtail millet). RNAcentral's name for it is "long non-coding RNA (SITA_LNC001823)". The record is from RNAcentral. Lineage: Eukaryota; Viridiplantae; Streptophyta; Magnoliopsida; Poales; Poaceae.